GACGAACGCUGGCGGCGUGCCUAAUACAUGCAAGUAGAACGCUGAAGCUUGGUGCUUGCACCGAGCGGAUGAGUUGCGAACGGGUGAGUAACGCGUAGGUAACCUGCCUGGUAGCGGGGGAUAACUAUUGGAAACGAUAGCUAAUACCGCAUGAUAUUGAUUAUUGCAUGAUAGUCAAUUAAAAGGUGCAAUUGCAUCACUACCAGAUGGACCUGCGUUGUAUUGGCUAGUUGGUGAGGUAACGGCUCACCAAGGCAACGAUACAUAGCCGACCUGAGAGGGUGAUCGGCCACACUGGGACUGAGACACGGCCCAGACUCCUACGGGAGGCAGCAGUAGGGAAUCUUCGGCAAUGGACGGAAGUCUGACCGAGCAACGCCGCGUGAGUGAAGAAGGUUUUCGGAUCGUAAAGCUCUGUUGUAAGAGAAGAACGAGUGUGAGAGUGGAAAGUUCACACUGUGACGGUAUCUUACCAGAAAGGGACGGCUAACUACGUGCCAGCAGCCGCGGUAAUACGUAGGUCCCGAGCGUUGUCCGGAUUUAUUGGGCGUAAAGCGAGCGCAGGCGGUUAGAUAAGUCUGAAGUUAAAGGCUGUGGCUUAACCAUAGUACGCUUUGGAAACUGUUUAACUUGAGUGCAAGAGGGGAGAGUGGAAUUCCAUGUGUAGCGGUGAAAUGCGUAGAUAUAUGGAGGAACACCGGUGGCGAAAGCGGCUCUCUGGCUUGUAACUGACGCUGAGGCUCGAAAGCGUGGGGAGCAAACAGG
This 765-nucleotide ribosomal RNA is filed under the name uncultured Streptococcus sp. Its description in RNAcentral is "bacterial SSU rRNA". It matches the Rfam family "Bacterial small subunit ribosomal RNA", at positions 28 to 776 of the family's 1533-position model. The record is from RNAcentral. Lineage: Bacteria; Bacillati; Bacillota; Bacilli; Lactobacillales; Streptococcaceae.